Molecule: ribosomal RNA, 200 nt
Filed under: uncultured bacterium
Lineage: Bacteria
Description: partial 16S ribosomal RNA
Rfam family: Bacterial small subunit ribosomal RNA
Source: RNAcentral
AGAGUUUGAUCCUGGCUCAGGACGAACGCUGGCGGCGUGCCUAACACAUGCAAGUCGAACGAGGUCCAUCCGGUAGCAAUACUGGUGAAGAUCGAGUGGCGAACGGGUGAGUAGCACGUGAGCAACCUGCCCCGAAGACCGGGACAACACCGGGAAACCGGUGCUAAUACCGGAUAUCCCCACCGAGUCGCAUGUCACGG